AUUGAACGCUGGCGGCAGGCCUAACACAUGCAAGUCGAGCGGAUGAAGGGAGCUUUCUCCUGGAUUCAGCGUCGGACGGGUGAGUAAUGCCUAGGAAUCUGCCUGGUAGUGGGGGAUAACGUCCGGAAACGGGCGCUAAUACCGCAUACGUCCUGAGGGAGAAAGUGGGGGAUCUUCGGACCUCACGCUAUCAGAUGAGCCUAGGUCGGAUUAGCUAGUUGGUGGGGUAAAGGCCUACCAAGGCGACGAUCCGUAACUGGUCUGAGAGGAUGAUCAGUCACAUUGGAACUGAGCCACGGUCCAGACUCCUACGGGAGGCAGCAGUGGGGAAUAUUGGACAAUAGGCGAAAGCCUGAUCCAGCCAUGCCGCGUGUGUGAAGAAGGUCUUCGGAUUGUAAAGCACUUUAAGUUGGGAGGAAGGGCAGUAAGUUAAUACCUUGCUGUUUUGACGUUACCAACAGAAUAAGCACCGGCUAACUUCGUG
This 484-nucleotide ribosomal RNA is filed under the name uncultured bacterium. RNAcentral's name for it is "partial 16S ribosomal RNA". It matches the Rfam family "Bacterial small subunit ribosomal RNA", at positions 30 to 507 of the family's 1533-position model. The record is from RNAcentral.